This 4759-nucleotide small RNA is filed under the name Caenorhabditis elegans. RNAcentral's name for it is "Unclassified non-coding RNA 3R5.3". Lineage: Eukaryota; Metazoa; Nematoda; Chromadorea; Rhabditida; Rhabditidae. The record is from RNAcentral.
GGAAAUGAACAAACGCGGUGCGGAGCUUGUGCGUCAGAAACAAGAAGGAGAAGUGAACGAGGAUGGAAAAGCUCAGUACAGCAGAGCCACGAACGAUUUUCAUGCGGUUUGCGAUGAAAUUGACCGUACUUUGACGACAGUAUUGGAGACAGCGAAACAAUUGAGCAAACUUGACAAAGUGUUCUUUGAUCGGAGCUCUCGAGAUCUCGACGGGGAGGUUAUGGUCAAUUCUGUGCAGAAUUUUGUGGAUAAUACUGAAAUUGUAAGCAGGGUUCAGGCUAAAAUUGUGUUUUGGUAGAUGUUUGGACACUAACAAAUAUUCGUUGCGAAGGAGGAUCGUUGAAAAAAGUCAAACUUUCCUAAUUUUUCAGGUACAAAGAAUGUUCGACGACACAAUUGGAAGUGUGACGUCUUCAAUGGAAAGUAUGCGAAGACGACAGAAGAAAUGGGAGGAUCAACACAAAAAUGAUGACGUCGAAAUGAUGGAGUAAAUAUUAGUUAUUUAAUGAUUGUUCUAUUGUUCUCAAAUACAAAAAAGCGUUACAUUUCUGUAAAAUAAAAAAGAUAAUUUGCAUCUAUUUCAGAAAAUCAUUUUCUCAAUGUUAAAUCUUAUUUUUCUUAAUUUCUUGUGUGUUUUCAUCGCUCAAUUAUCGUUUUUCUCUGAGAAUUGAUUUUCCAAUGUAAAAUGAGAGAUCUUCUUGUUUAAAAAUAAUAAUAAAAAUCACUUACUUCUCUGAAAUAUGCGUUUUAAUCUCUCAAAAAAAUUGAGAUUUGUCCGUUUUUCAUUAAUUCAGACAGUUUUCCGGUAAAUCUACUUUUACACCAUUUGAAAAGGGAAAUACCAAAUUAUUAAAACAGCAUAAAACAAAUUUAAAAAAUUUCUUCAGUUAUUUUCGGUCUAUCUUUUUGUCAUUAAAAUAGUUUUUUUCCAAAAAAUGAAUUUCACAUUUUUAAAGAAAAAAUUUGAAUUGAGUCAGAUUUUUAAGUACGAUAAUUUUUUAUUAGAAAAAAACUAAUUUUGAGAAGAAAAUAGAUAUGUAAAUGGUUUAAAAUGUGUACUUUAAAAUGUGAAAUUUAAAAUUAUUACACGGCCCGGCAAGUGGUACAUCCAUGCAAAUGCGCUCUACUGAUAAUUUGAGUGUAGACCAGGUUUGGGCGCGUGAUAACGAAAAAAGCUUUGGUCCAAAAAAUUUAGAAUUUAAUUUCGGACAUUUUUUAUAUGCAUCACAAAAAAGCUGGACCAACCGUUUUUGAGAUACACGCGCCCAAACGUCCAGGUAUACGGUAGACAAAUUGCGUACAGGUACCACUUCUCGGGCCGUGUAUUAUAUGACCUCAAAAAUUCUGAGAAUGCGUAUUGCACAACAUAUUUGACGCGCAAAAUAUCUCGUAGCGAAAACUACAGUAAUUCUUUAAAUGACUACUGUAGCGGUGGUGUCGAUUUUUGAUUUUUUCGAUUUUUUGAAAUGAAUGGAAAAUGAAAUGAAUGAAAUUGAGCGAUAUUGAAAUUAUUUUCUCAUUUUUAACUGAGUUUCAAUAUUUUAUCGAUAAAUACCGUAUUUUUUCUAUUACUACGUCUUCUCUAUUAGAAUUGCACUCCCUAUUAGUAUUGCCCCUCGGAGACCUCUCGAAAAUUAGUAUGGCACUCCCUAUUAGUCUUGCACUCCCUAAUAGUCUUGCUUUUACUUUUUUUAAAUUGCAAACGGGUCUCGCUAAUUUCAGGAUUCCAUCAACAUUUUUUACCUAUUUUGUAACAAUUUUUGACAACAUUUCUACGAGAUAGAAGUUUUGAACUUACAUGCUACAAUUAAAAUUACAUUUUCUGACUUUUUACAUAUGACUUUUUCAGAAAAACAAAACAACUAGUAAGCUCAAAGUCAAAAAUGUUCUGAAAAUUAGUAUUGCAAUCCAUAUGAGCUCGUAAAUCGACACAAGCGCUACAGUAGUCAUUUAAAGAAUUACUUUAGUUUUCGCUACGAGAUAUUUUGCGCGUCAAAUAUGUUGUGCAAUACGCAUUCUCAGAAUUUUAUGUUUCCGUAAUACUAUGUUUCAGGUGAAAAUGUUUUCACCGCUCGAGUGUCGUCUUGCUGUUGCUUGUAAAUUCCAAGAUGAUCGAUAUUAUAAGCUUUUUCACCAAUAUUUUGAUCUACUGGCCCAAGUUCACUCUGUUGUCGAAACAAUGGACGGUUUAUGGAUGCUGAGAGUGUGGAGGGCUCAAAAAUUCGGACCAGAAAGCAUCAAAGAGAGACGAGAAAGACAACUAUUUCACGUUACUCAAUUUUCCUUCAAACGUUACAUCGUUCCGCCGAAUCCGCGUAUUGGAAAAGCCAUUGAAGAAUUUGGGAAAGAAUAUCUGAUUGAGAUCAAUGUUUACGACGAGCAUCGAGCUGAUUUAGUGAGUCUAAAUGUAACACUUUUAAUUCAUCUUCUAUAUAUUAACCAAUAGUCUUGCAGUCCGGUAAUUUCGUGGCUAUUCAAAAUGUGCACGCAGCGUCCACACCACAUAGAGAAAUUCAAAUUCUUCACGGCGGCGGUGAGGCAUAUCAACGUGGAAUCUCGACAGUUCCAGUCGACUUCGAAGUUGAUGCUUUUCAAAAUUUCAAGAGAAAGGUGGAAUCUGUGCUGGAAAAUGUUUUGUACGAUGAAAAUUUCAUCGAGUUCCAACAGCCGGAAGAAGUUACUGAAAAUCGUGUUCCUGAAGAGUAAGUCGGUUUCAUAAUUGAAAAAAAAAGAUUUUUUUUUAAAUUUCAGGCCUCAAUUGAACAUCCACAAGGACCCUUUGCCGAGUGAUCUUCCACAAUAAAGGAACACCGAAAGCGUGGCGGUUCGUCUAAAUAUCGUUUUCUUUUUUUUCUGUAAUUUUCGGUUCAAACCGGUGUAUCUCACAUGUUUGUUUUUGGUUUUUAAUAUAUUUAUUGUGUUGUUAACGAUUGUUCGGAAUGCAGUAUUUUUUAAAAUUCUUCAGCAUUAUACAGUGCAUUUGUUUUUCCACUUCUGCGACUUUAAAGGGAGGCGCUUUUAUGCGGAAUGAUCUGGUCGCGCGUUUAAUAAUCAUUUUAGCGGUUUCUUUGUAAAAGAAAUCGCUAAAAUAAUAUGCAACAAAUCAUUAAAAACUUGGAAAUUAUUUUUGGUUGCUCAUAUUUGUGCAGGCAAAAAGUGCCCUACCUAUAAAAAAGGUAUAGUCAUUCAAGCCCAGUUUUUGGUUUCAGUUCAUCUUUUCUUUUCUCAAAUCGUGCCAGUAAUCAUGGUAGCCAUCAGGACCAUCACAGUUAAACUUUUUCUCGCCACUGAAGAUGAUCUGAGACCAAAACAUGAGAUUGAAUGAUCAUACCGUAAUCCUCACUUGUCUCCAGUUAGUUCUCUGGCUGAUUUUAGCAAACUGAAUAAGAUUUUGGCCGUGUUUUUCGGUAAUGAAAUUAGCCUUUAUUAAUUUUCGUCUUUUGAUAAACUGGGACUUCGAAGGACACGACGUACGGUCUCAACAGACACUGGCAGGUUCAUCUCGCUCCUACUUUUCGAGCAAGUCACUGUUCAAUUGAAUGCUCGACGAACGAUUUUUCGCUUGUCUCUACCAGAAAGGAGUGGUGGGCGACCAGAAGACUUUUUGGUGCAAUAAGCGGCAGGAUUUGAAGCAUAUCGAGUGAUCAUAUCUCUCAAACGUUUCAAAUCACGAAAAAUCUGACGAUCCGAGAAGCCUUGAGAUAAUUUUGCACAAUUUGUCCUUUUUCGUAGUCAGUUAAAGUUAUUCCACGACCCAUAGCUGUAAAAACACAAACGAACAUGAAACCUAACGUUUAGCAAAAAAAAUUGCAAAAAAAACGAAAAAAGAAAACAAAAACCAAGGGUGGCCGUAUCAUUUUGUGGAUUUUUUAUAUGGUUUUUCAUGAAAAAAUGGUUUAUCUUUUUUUACGAACGGUUCAGGUAUAUUUCCAAUACUUAUCUGAAAGUUAGCCAGUACAGCGAACAUUUUCACAAGAAACUAUGUUUUGCUAUCUCAACCCAGUUUUGAGUUAUACCAAAAUUUGGGGGUGGCCGUAUCAUUAUGUGGAGCACUGUAUUUAUAAACAUUUUUAAAAAAUUAUUCGAAAAUUCUAAAAAUUUUUAGAAAUUUCUCGAAUAUUCCCGUAUUUUAGGAGUAAAAAAAGGUUCUUUUUUGAGAUUUUUCAAACGAAAUAGUGAAAAAAUUUCAAUGAUAAACAGGAAAAAAUCUUCUUUUUUUGAAAAAAUUGUAUUUCUUAAAUAAAAAUUACUUUAUUUGGCAUUUCAAGUGAAAGUUUGAUUUUUUUUCAAAUUAAAAUUUUUAUACAAAAAAAAAUUCCAAAAAAGUUCAACAUUAAAUUUCAAUGCUUUGAAAAAUAAAAAUAACAUUUUUUCGAAAAUUUAGAAAACAAAAACCUCUCAAAAUUUUCAGGUUCUAGCUCCAGGUUCAAUACCUCCCGGCGGGCCAGCUUCCCAAACAGGACCCCAAUCGAUUCAAGUCUUCGGACCCGGCUCCGUGCAGCCACCAGGCUCAACACAGGCUCCGUCCUCAGUCCAACCGGCUUCCACAUUCAAUCCAGGCUCGAUUCAGGCUCCGGCAAGCCAGCAGCCGCCUGCAUCAGUUCAACCACCGCCAUCUGCAGCGUCGGGCUCAACUGUGGCCGGUGCACAGAGCUCCAAAGAGCCGCUGAAACCGAAUGAGGAGCAAAUUCGAAUGGUUCAGGAUCCUGUGGAUUUGGUUCGAAAUUUGGUGCAAAAGGAUCUCAGAAAUUCGUUGGUG